UGCACGUCUAAGUACAAUCCUGAUAUUAUAAGAGAAACUGCAGAUGGCUCAUUAGAUCAGUUAUGGUUUAUCGGAGUUCGUAAAAGUGCCAUGGAUAACUGUGGUAAUUCUAGAGCUAAUACAUGCAAUUAAGCGCCGACCCUUCGGGGAAGGCGUGCUUUUAUUAGGAACAAGGCCAGCCCGGAGGGUCUCCUUUCGGUCUCAUCCGCUGGUGAACUCUAGAUAACAAUGCCGAUCGCACGGUCUCGCACCGGCGACGCUCCCUUCAAAAGUCUGCUCUAUCAACUGUCGAUGGUAUGUUAUGCGCUUAUCAUGGUAAUGACGGGUAACGGAGAAUCAGGGUUCGAUUCCGGAGAGGGAGCCUGAGAAACGGCUACCACAUCCAAGGAAGGCAGCAGGCACGCAAAUUACCCACUCCUGACACGGGGAGGUAGUGACAAAAAAUAACGAUACAGGCCUCUUCGGAGGCCCUGUGAUCGGAAUGAGUACACUUUAAAUCCUUUAACGAGGAUCUACUGGAGGGCAAGUCUGGUGCCAGCAGCCGCGGUAAUUCCAGCUCCAGCAGCGUAUAUUAAAUCUGCUGCAGUUAAAAAGCUCGUAGUCGGAUCUCUGGACGGGGCGGGCGGUCCGCCGUGAGGCGUGUACUGCUCGUUUCUCUUCGCCCGUCAAGGGUGGGGUAGAAUUUCCCGGCCAGUCAUCCGGUUGAUCGUGCGGUGCUCUUAACUGGGUGCCGUGCGAGACUGGAACGUUUACUUUGAGAAAAUUGGAGUGUUCAAAGCAGGCCAAAGUGCCCGAACAGCUCAGCAUGGAAUAAUGGAACAGGACCUCGGUUCUAUUUCGUUGGUCUAAGGGACCGGAGGUAAUGAUCAAGAGGGACUGCCGGGGGCAUUCGUAUUGCGGCGUGAGAGGUGAAAUUCUUGGAUCGUCGCAAGACGCCCGACCGCGAAAGCAUUUGCCAAGAAUGUUUUCAUUGAUCAAGAACGAAAGUCGGAGGAUCGAAGGCGAUCAGAUACCGCCCUAGUUCCGACCAUAAACGAUACCAACUCGCAAUCCGCCGGCGUUCCUCCCAUGACGCGGCGGGCAGCCUCCGGGAAACCAAAGUCUUUGGGUUCUGGGGGAAGUAUGGUUGCAAAGCUGAAACUUAAAGGAAUUGACGGAAGGGCACCACCAGGAGUGGAGCCUGCGGCUUAAUUUGACUCAACACGGGGAAACCUACCCGGCCCGGACACAGUAAGGAUUGACAGAUUGAGAGCUCUUUCUUGAUUUUGUGGAUGGUGGUGCAUGGCCGUUCUUAGUUGGUGGAGCGAUUUGUCUGGUUAAUUCCGAUAACGAACGAGACUCUGGCUUGCUAAAUAGUCUGGCUACCCGUCGCGGUAGGCCACGAACUUCUUAGAGGGACAAAUGGCUCUCAGCCAUACGAAAUAGAGCAAUAACAGGUCUGUGAUGCCCUUAGAUGUCCGGGGCCGCACGCGCGCUACACUGGAGUAAGCAGCGGGUAAACUAUCCUCGGCCGACAGGUCCGGGUAAUCCGCUGAAACUUCUCCGUGAUGGGGACAGGGACUUGUAAUUAUGUCCCUCGAACGAGGAAUUCCAAGUAAACGCGAGUCAUCAGCUCGCAUUGAUUACGUCCCUGCCCUUUGUACACACCGCCCGUCGCUACUACCGAUCGAAUGGCUUAGUGAGGCCAUCGGAUCGUCCGUCUGGCGUCCCGGCUUCGGCCGGUGUCAAGGCGUGAUGAAAAGACGGUCAAACUUGAUCAUUUAGAGGAAGU
Molecule: ribosomal RNA, 1771 nt
Filed under: Protelpidia murrayi
Lineage: Eukaryota; Metazoa; Echinodermata; Holothuroidea; Elasipodida; Elpidiidae
Description: SSU rRNA
Rfam family: Eukaryotic small subunit ribosomal RNA
Source: RNAcentral